GAGUUUGAUCAUGGCUCAGGAUGAACGCUGGCGGCGUGCCUAAUACAUGCAAGUCGAGCGAACGGACGAGAAGCUUGCUUCUCUGAUGUUAGCGGCGGACGGGUGAGUAACACGUGGAUAACCUACCUAUAAGACUGGGAUAACUUCGGGAAACCGGAGCUAAUACCGGAUAAUAUUUUGAACCGCAUGGUUCAAAAAGUGAAAGACGGUCUUGCUGUCACUUAUAGAUGGAUCCGCGCUGCAUUAGCUAGUUGGUAAGGUAACGGCUUACCAAGGCAACGAUGCAUAGCCGACCUGAGAGGGUGAUCGGCCACACUGGAACUGAGACACGGUCCAGACUCCUACGGGAGGCAGCAGUAGGGAAUCUUCCGCAAUGGGCGAAAGCCUGACGGAGCAACGCCGCGUGAGUGAUGAAGGUCUUCGGAUCGUAAAACUCUGUUAUUAGGGAAGAACAUAUGUGUAAGUAACUGUGCACAUCUUGACGGUACCUAAUCAGAAAGCCACGGCUAACUA
RNAcentral lists this ribosomal RNA (513 nucleotides) under uncultured microorganism. Its description in RNAcentral is "bacterial SSU rRNA". It matches the Rfam family "Bacterial small subunit ribosomal RNA", at positions 9 to 503 of the family's 1533-position model. The record is from RNAcentral.